Molecule: non-coding RNA, 136 nt
Organism: Brachypodium distachyon (stiff brome)
Lineage: Eukaryota; Viridiplantae; Streptophyta; Magnoliopsida; Poales; Poaceae
Source: Rfam
UACUUACUCCCUCCAUCCGGAAAUAAGUGACUCAUAUUUUUUUAGAUUCGUAUAUACCUAGAUGUGUUUUAAUGUAUAGAUAGAUGUGAAUUUAGAAAAAUCUGAGUCACUUAUUUCCAGACGAAGAAAGUAUUAA